GACGAACGCUGGCGGCGUGCCUAAUACAUGCAAGUCGAACGCUUCUUUCCUCCCGAGUGCUUGCACUCAAUUGGAAAGAGGAGUGGCGGACGGGUGAGUAACACGUGGGUAACCUACCCAUCAGAGGGGGAUAACACUUGGAAACAGGUGCUAAUACCGCAUAACAGUUUAUGCCGCAUGGCAUAAGAGUGAAAGGCGCUUUCGGGUGUCGCUGAUGGAUGGACCCGCGGUGCAUUAGCUAGUUGGUGAGGUAACGGCUCACCAAGGCCACGAUGCAUAGCCGACCUGAGAGGGUGAUCGGCCACACUGGGACUGAGACACGGCCCAGACUCCUACGGGAGGCAGCAGUGGGGAAUCUUCGGCAAUGGACGAAAGUCUGACCGAGCAACGCCGCGUGAGUGAAGAAGGUUUUCGGAUCGUAAAACUCUGUUGUUAGGGAAGAACAAGGACGUUAGUAACUGAACGUCCCCUGACGGUAUCUAACCAGAAAGCCACGGCUAACUACGUG
RNAcentral lists this ribosomal RNA (508 nucleotides) under uncultured bacterium. Its description in RNAcentral is "partial 16S ribosomal RNA". It matches the Rfam family "Bacterial small subunit ribosomal RNA", at positions 28 to 507 of the family's 1533-position model. The record is from RNAcentral.